CACUUUCUGUCCGCGACCCCGGCCCCUAGGUUUCCUAGUCCCGGCUCCGUUACCCCCUCAGGCCUAAGGCUGGGACCCCUCCCCGUCCCCGGUCUUGGCCCAGCCCCCUUCAACAGAUGGUCCGCCCCGACCCCUCCUCCUCGUCCCGCCCGGCCCUGGCAGGCCCCGCCCCCUGCGGCCUCUACCUUUGACGUCUUCCCCCUGCAGGUGGCGGGGGUCUGCGACCGAAUGCCGGCGGGACUCCGGGUCAGGGCUUCUGGCGGGCCCUGCGGGGGGCAGCGAGGUGACCGUGAACCUGCGGCUCAUGGCGCUGAAAGGGGCCAGGCGGCCGCGGCGAGGGCCGGUAUCGCACAAGUGGCUGCAGCCGGGCUCUAGGAGGGAGAAAGAGCUGAUCCCCCCCACCCGCCCCCUGCCAGACGCGACGCUGCGCAGGGUCCUAGUGCCCGCUGUGCUGAGGGUUCCUGAAUCUGGCCACUUCGCUGGGAGGCCCUGGGCUCCCCAGUGCCACCCGAAGGGCCUGAGGAGGCCAUCUGCAGAAUCUCACUCUGUCGCCCAGGCUGGAGUACAGUGUCAUGAUCUUGGCUCACUGCAGCCUCCACCUCCCAGGUUCAAGCAAUUCUCCUACCUCAGCCUCACAAGUAGCUGGGAUUACAAGCACAGUGCCUGGCACAUUGUCGGCACUUGAUGACUGUUGUCUAAUAAAUAAGUUUCCAUGCAAACCACCUGUGUCCUGUACUGAAGGAGAAACAACUUCCAGCCGGGGAGGCAGGAAAUCUGGGUCCUGGUCUUGGUUGCAUCCCUGACUUCCUAAAUGACCUGGAGAAGGCCUCUGCCUCUACUGGGAUCUUGUCUGUGCUGGGGCAUUUGCUUCCAUUUCCAAGGGCUUUAUCUUCCUCGCUCAGAUUUUGACCAAUCACUAAGAAGAACCUAGCGUGUGUCUCACGAAGGGACCCUCCUCAGCCCUCACCUUGGUACUGGAAGACGUCGUGCGUGUCCAAAGGGACCCCGGGGAACAUCCGGUCUACCUCGCUGGCGCUGCGGGGAUCCACCAUCUGCGCCUUCACGUUGAACCUGCGGGCAGGCGCGGAGGAGACAGGUGCUGAGCCGGCCAGCGCGCGGACGGACGGCGCCCGGGCUCCCCCUGCGGGCGGCCGCGGCGGUGCUCACCUCCAGACGCGCCGCCCGCUGAAUAGCAGCAUCUUCCCUGCGCCACGCCGGAGGGCCCCGGUCACCUGGGCCACGUCGGCGCCCAGGCCCAGCUUGUCUAGACGCCUCGGGCCCAGCACCGACGCGCCUGUGUACACCCACACCUGGCGCCCUGCAGGGAAGGAGGGUCACAUCGGUCUGGAGGCGCAGAGAGAGCACGUACUCUUCUAGAACGCGAGGAGGGAGAUCCCGGCGAAGCCUUUCCUAGCCCACGUGCCCGCAGUCCCUGCACCCCAGGAGCAGAGGCGCUGGGUAGAGCGGCGCGAGGGCAUGGAGAGGAAAGGGCAGAAACUCAGCAGUCCCUACGUUUGCUAAACUGAGUCCGCCAGGGGGCGUAUUUUUCUAAAACGCACAAGACGUUUCCUGGGUUAUCGACGGCCUCUUGAGCCUCCUUGACUGAUGGGGAUUGACAGGGAGGCGUAGAAGGUAACCAACCAGAGAAGAAGAAAAGCUUCUUGGAGAGCGGCUCCUCAAAGGCCGAGUCCAGCUUGCGGGGCAACGCGGGCCACGUGUCGGCGAUAAGGAAGGGGCCCUGCAGCCGGCUCCCCCUGCGCUCAGAGAAUCGCCAGUACCUCCUGAGAACGCGAAGAGGGAAAGGACGGGCUCUGAGCCUUGGACCCAGGGCCAGUGGGCAGGAAGGGACGGGCAGUCCCUCCGCGAAGCCCCCUUCCGCAUCCACACAUCCCUGCCUCCUCACCCAUCCUUGAACAAAUACAGCUGGUUCCCGAUCUC
Molecule: long non-coding RNA, 1938 nt
Organism: Piliocolobus tephrosceles (Ugandan red Colobus)
Lineage: Eukaryota; Metazoa; Chordata; Mammalia; Primates; Cercopithecidae
Exons: 4
Source: RefSeq, a predicted model, not a curated record